RNAcentral lists this ribosomal RNA (450 nucleotides) under uncultured bacterium. RNAcentral describes it as "partial 16S ribosomal RNA". It matches the Rfam family "Bacterial small subunit ribosomal RNA", at positions 354 to 796 of the family's 1533-position model. The record is from RNAcentral.
GUGGGGAAUAUUGCGCAAUGGGCGAAAGCCUGACGCAGCGACGCCGCGUGAGGGAUGAAGGUUUUCGGAUCGUAAACCUCUGUCAGAAGGGAAGAAACUACGUUGUGCUAAUCAGCAGCGUACUGACGGUACCUUCAAAGGAAGCACCGGCUAACUUCGUGCCAGCAGCCGCGGUAAUACGAAGGGAGCUAGCGUUGUUCGGAAUUACUGGGCGUAAAGGGCGCGUAGGCGGUUUGGUUAGUCAGAUGUGAAAGCCCAGGGCUUAACCCUGGAACUGCGUUCGAUACUGGGAGACUUGAGUCCUGGAGAGGGUGGCGGAAUUCCGGGUGUAGGAGUGAAAUCCGUAGAUAUCCGGAGGAACACCGGUGGCGAAGGCGGCCACCUGGACAGAUACUGACGCUGAGGCGCGAAAGCGUGGGGAGCAAACAGGAUUAGAAACCCCAGUAGUCC